RNAcentral lists this ribosomal RNA (528 nucleotides) under Escherichia coli. RNAcentral's name for it is "partial 23S ribosomal RNA". It matches the Rfam family "Bacterial large subunit ribosomal RNA", at positions 1 to 568 of the family's 2925-position model. Lineage: Bacteria; Pseudomonadati; Pseudomonadota; Gammaproteobacteria; Enterobacterales; Enterobacteriaceae. The record is from RNAcentral.
GGUUAAGCGACUAAGCGUACACGGUGGAUGCCCUGGCAGUCAGAGGCGAUGAAGGACGUGCUAAUCUGCGAUAAGCGUCGGUGAGGUGAUAUGAACCGUUAUAACCGGCGAUUUCCGAAUGGGGAAACCCAGUGUGUUUCGACACACUAUCAUUAACUGAAUCCAUAGGUUAAUGAGGCGAACCGGGGGAACUGAAACAUCUAAGUACCCCGAGGAAAAGAAAUCAACCGAGAUUCCCCCAGUAGCGGCGAGCGAACGGGGAGGAGCCCAGAGCCUGAAUCAGUGUGUGUGUUAGUGGAAGCGUCUGGAAAGGCGUGCGAUACAGGGUGACAGCCCCGUACACAAAAAUGCACAUAUUGUGAGCUCGAUGAGUAGGGCGGGACACGUGGUAUCCUGUCUGAAUAUGGGGGGACCAUCCUCCAAGGCUAAAUACUCCUGACUGACCGAUAGUGAACCAGUACCGUGAGGGAAAGGCGAAAAGAACCCCGGCGAGGGGAGUGAAAAAGAACCUGAAACCGUGUACGUACA